UUUAACUGGAGAGUUUGAUCCUGGCUCAGGACGAACGCUGGCGGCGUGCCUAACACAUGCAAGUCGAGCGGAGGCAAAGUUCAACACUGAGUAUUUGAGUGAGAGCGUUGGUAAGUGAGCCAGCGCCAUGCACAAACAACAUUGAAGUUUGUAAGAUAGAAGUUUGUGCAUCACGCAAUACAGUGAAUAACACAAGCUCAAGUACUGAGUGUUGAACUUUGCCUUAGCGGCGGACGGGUGAGUAACGCGUGAGUAACCUACCUUGUACUGGGGGAUAACAGCCGGAAACGGCUGCUAAUACCGCAUAAGACCACAUUGCCGCAUGGCAAAGGGGUCA
Molecule: ribosomal RNA, 337 nt
Filed under: Thermoanaerobacteraceae bacterium
Lineage: Bacteria; Bacillati; Bacillota; Clostridia; Thermoanaerobacterales; Thermoanaerobacteraceae
Description: partial 16S ribosomal RNA
Rfam family: Bacterial small subunit ribosomal RNA
Source: RNAcentral